GUGGGGAAUAUUGGACAAUGGGCGCAAGCCUGAUCCAGCAAUGCCGCGUGGGUGAAGAAGGUCUUCGGAUCGUAAAGCCCUUUCGACAGGGACGAUGAUGACGGUACCUGUAGAAGAAGCCCCGGCUAACUUCGUGCCAGCAGCCGCGGUAAUACGAAGGGGGCUAGCGUUACUCGGAAUUACUGGGCGUAAAGGGCGCGUAGGCGGCUCUGUUAGUCAGGCGUGAAAUUCCUGGGCUUAACCUGGGGACUGCGCUUGAUACUGCAGGGCUUGAGGACGAGAGAGGGUGGUGGAAUUCCCAGUGUAGAGGUGAAAUUCGUAGAUAUUGGGAAGAACACCGGUGGCGAAGGCGGCCAUCUGGACCAGCACUGACACUGAGGCACGAAAGCGUGGGGAGCAAACAGGAUUAGAUACCCUAGUAGUCC
This 425-nucleotide ribosomal RNA is filed under the name uncultured bacterium. Its description in RNAcentral is "partial 16S ribosomal RNA". It matches the Rfam family "Bacterial small subunit ribosomal RNA", at positions 354 to 796 of the family's 1533-position model. The record is from RNAcentral.